RNAcentral lists this ribosomal RNA (484 nucleotides) under uncultured bacterium. RNAcentral's name for it is "partial 16S ribosomal RNA". It matches the Rfam family "Bacterial small subunit ribosomal RNA", at positions 30 to 507 of the family's 1533-position model. The record is from RNAcentral.
AUUGAACGCUGGCGGCAGGCCUAACACAUGCAAGUCGAGCGGUUGAAGGGAGCUGGCUCCUGGAUCCGGCGGCGGAGGGGUGGGUAAUGCCUAGAAACCGCCUUGUUAGUGGGGGAUAACGUCCGGAAACGGGCGCUAUUACCGCAUACGUCCUGAGGGGGAAAGUGGGGAAUCUUCGGACCUCCCGCUAUAAGAUGAGCCAAGGUCGGAUUAGCUAGUUGGUGGGGUAAAGGCCUACCAAGCCGACGAUCCGUAACUGGUCUGAGAGGAUGAUCAGUCACACUGGAACUGAGACACGGUCCAGACUCCUACGGGAGGCAGCAGUGGGGAAUAUUGGACAAUGGGCGAAAGCCUGAUCCAGCCAUGCCGCGUGUGUGAAGAAGGUCUUCGGAUUGUAAAGCACUUUAAGUUGGGAGGAAGGGCAGUAAGUUAAUACCUUGCUGUUUUGACGUUACCAACAGAAUAAGCACCGGCUAACUUCGUG